AGCGGCGGACGGGUGAGUAACGCGUGGGUAACCUGCCCUGUACACACGGAUAACAUACCGAAAGGUAUGCUAAUACGAGAUAAUAUGCUUUUAUCGCAUGGUAGAAGUAUCAAAGCUUUUGCGGUACAGGAUGGACCCGCGUCUGAUUAGCUAGUUGGUAAGGUAACGGCUUACCAAGGCGACGAUCAGUAGCCGACCUGAGAGGGUGAUCGGCCACAUUGGAACUGAGACACGGCCCAAACUCCUACGGGAGGCAGCAGUGGGGAAUGUUGCACAAUGGGCGAAAGUCUGAUGCAGCAACGCCGCGUGAGCGAUGAAAGCCUUCGGGUCGUAAAGUUCUGUCCUCAAGGAAGAUAAUGACGGUACUUGAGGAGGAAGCCCCGGCUAACUACGUGCCAGCAGCCGCGGUAAUACGUAGGGGGCUAGCGUUAUCCGGAUUUACUGGGCGUAAAGGGUGCGUAGGUGGUUUCUUAAGUCAGAGGUGAAAGGCUACGGCUCAACCGUAGUAAGCCUUUGAAACUGGGAAACUUGAGUGCAGGAGAGGAGAGUGGAAUUCCUAGUGUAGCGGUGAAAUGCGUAGAUAUUAGGAGGAACACCAGUUGCGAAGGCGGCUCUCUGGACUGUAACUGACACUGAGGCACGAAAGCGUGGGGAGCAAACAGGAUUAGAUACCCUGGUAGUCCACGCCGUAAACGAUGAGUACUAGCUGU
Molecule: ribosomal RNA, 710 nt
Filed under: uncultured bacterium
Lineage: Bacteria
Description: bacterial SSU rRNA
Rfam family: Bacterial small subunit ribosomal RNA
Source: RNAcentral